UAUGCAUACUUUAGUUUUGACCAAACAAAAUGUGAAGAAACCAUUUGAUUCCUGGAUAAUUUAUUGGGUGUUUAGUUUACCGGGGGGUUCGGGGUUGUUGGGGGGGCUUUUUAUUUUUUAUUUUUUAUCCUACUGCGUUCUCUCUACCAGGAGAGAGAACUCUCAACGCUCUUCUUCCCUCUUCUUCCCGGAGGCACACCCAGACAAGGAAGGACGGCGAAGCCGCGUUUUCCGUCCAACCCAAUGUGUCAAACCUCACCAUCACCCCUUCUCAUCAUUAUAAACAUACCAUCGUCCCCAACUUCCAAAAAGAAAAAUCAAACUGAGACGUUGAAUUGAAAGUGCUCCGACGCGGGAAGGAUUUUCCCAACAACGUUCUCGUCAAAUCCGGCCAAGGCAUAUUGUAUACAAGUACAUUUCGCGACAUCAUUUAAGUUACUCAAAAUUAUGUCACUUUAUCAAAAGAAAUUCUCACUUUACCAAAAUUGGGACACAAUGACGAAAUCAUGAGCAACAUUUAGUUCUUGAAUCUGGUGCUCUGACUGAUUCCUGCAUUGAUUCCGGUGGCCUCUCCACCAUACGGACCUAAGGGCUUCCUCACCUCUCUUACCUGUCCUCUUCUACUCUUCACUGCCUUCUGGUGCUUCAACUGCACACGCACAGAGAAAGAGAUGAGUUAGUAGAGCAAUCAUUUAAUAGCCUGCAACAUUGUGUGUUCGACUAUUUGAUCAAAAUACCUUGUACUUCUUUCUUGGAUUCUUGAUCAGCUUCUUACGAGCACGAGUAAAUGUAUGCUAAAAUGUACUUA
This is a non-coding RNA of Malus domestica (apple), 808 nucleotides long. The record is from RefSeq and is a predicted model, not a curated record. Lineage: Eukaryota; Viridiplantae; Streptophyta; Magnoliopsida; Rosales; Rosaceae.